GUGAGUGUAGCUCAGUUGGCAGAGCACCAGGUUGUGGCCCUGGUGGCCGUGGGUUCAAUCCCCAUCACUCACCCCA
This 76-nucleotide transfer RNA is filed under the name Deltaproteobacteria bacterium RBG_16_64_85. RNAcentral describes it as "tRNA-His". It matches the Rfam family "tRNA". From Rfam's summary of the family: Transfer RNA (tRNA) molecules are approximately 80 nucleotides in length. RNAcentral also lists the same sequence under 4 other names. Lineage: Bacteria; Deltaproteobacteria. The record is from RNAcentral.